GACGUAGGAGGCGAGCGUUGUCCGGAUUCAUUGGGCGUAAAGAGCGCGCAGGCGGCUUGGUAAGUCGGAUGUGAAAUCCCGAGGCUCAACCUCGGGUCUGCAUCCGAUACUGCCCGGCUAGAGGUAGGUAGGGGAGAUCGGAAUUCCUGGUGUAGCGGUGAAAUGCGCAGAUAUCAGGAGGAACACCGGUGGCGAAGGCGGUUCUCUGGGCAUUACCUGACGCUGAGGAGCGAAAGUGUGGGGAGCGAACAGG
RNAcentral lists this ribosomal RNA (253 nucleotides) under uncultured bacterium. RNAcentral describes it as "partial 16S ribosomal RNA". It matches the Rfam family "Bacterial small subunit ribosomal RNA", at positions 524 to 776 of the family's 1533-position model. The record is from RNAcentral.